Molecule: ribosomal RNA, 468 nt
Filed under: uncultured bacterium
Lineage: Bacteria
Description: partial 16S ribosomal RNA
Rfam family: Bacterial small subunit ribosomal RNA
Source: RNAcentral
GACGAACGCUGGCGGCGUGCUUAACACAUGCAAGUCGAACGGAAAGGCCCUGCUUUUGUGGGGUGCUCGAGUGGCGAACGGGUGAGUAACACGUGAGUAACCUGCCCUUGACUUUGGGAUAACUUCAGGAAACUGGGGCUAAUACCGGAUAGGAGCUCCUGCUGCAUGGUGGGGGUUGGAAAGUUUCGGCGGUUGGGGAUGGACUCGCGGCUUAUCAGCUUGUUGGUGGGGUAGUGGCUUACCAAGGCUUUGACGGGUAGCCGGCCUGAGAGGGUGACCGGCCACAUUGGGACUGAGAUACGGCCCCGACUCCUACGGGAGGCAGCAGUGGGGAAUAUUGCACCAUGGGCGGAAGCCUGAUGCAGCAACGCCGCGUGCGGGAUGACGGCCUUCGGGUUGUAAACCGCUUUCGCCUGUGACGAAGCGUGAGUGACGGUAAUGGGUAAAGAAGCACCGGCUAACUACGUG